AAGCUCGUAGUUGAAUUUCGGGAUCAAAUUGUCGGUCGUGCCUCGGUACGUACUGGCGUUAUUGGUCCCUCCCUUCUGAAGAACCACGAUGUCAUUAAUUUGGUGUCGCGGGGAAUCAGGACUGUUACUUUGAAAAAAUUAGAGUGUUUAAAGCAGGCUCGCGCUUGAAUACAUUAGCAUGGAAUAAUGAAAUAGGACGUUUGAUUCUAUUUUGUUGGUUUCUAGGAUCGACGUAAUGAUUAAUAGGGAUAGUUGGGGGCAUUAGUAUUCAAUUGUCAGAGGUGAAAUUCUUGGAUUUAUUGAAGACUAACUACUGCGAAAGCAUUUGCCAAGGAUGUUUUCAUUAAUCAAGAACGAAAGUUAGGGGAUCGAAGACGAUCAGAUACCGUCGUAGUCUUAACCAUAAACUAUGCCGACUAGGGAUCGGAUGAUGUUAAUUUUUUAAUGACUCAUUCGGGGCCUUACGGGAAACCAAAGUGUUUGGGUUCCGGGGGGAGUAUGGUCGCAAGGCUGAAACUUAAAGGAAUUGACGGAAGGGCACCACCAGGGGUGGAGCCUGCGGCUUAAUUUGACUCAACACGGGGAAACUCACCAGGUCCAGACAUAGUAAGGAUCGACAGAUUGAGAGCUCUUUCUUGAUUCUAUGGGUG
This 650-nucleotide ribosomal RNA is filed under the name uncultured Glomus. RNAcentral describes it as "SSU rRNA". It matches the Rfam family "Eukaryotic small subunit ribosomal RNA", at positions 624 to 1276 of the family's 1831-position model. The record is from RNAcentral. Lineage: Eukaryota; Fungi; Glomeromycota; Glomeromycetes; Glomerales; Glomeraceae.